Molecule: unclassified non-coding RNA, 399 nt
Filed under: Hevea brasiliensis (rubber tree)
Lineage: Eukaryota; Viridiplantae; Streptophyta; Magnoliopsida; Malpighiales; Euphorbiaceae
Source: RNAcentral
AGACAUAACAACUAGAACCAUGGACAUGUUACGGUUACAUUGGCAAGUUGAAGGCUUUGGUUUAUAAGUUGUUGUAAUAGGUUCUUUGCCGAUGCUUAUUUAUUUGUGCCACACCAAAAGUUUACUUCAUGUGCAAGCCACUUGGCUUAGACAAGUUUCUUUUAUUUACAAUGUAUAAACUUUAGGUUAAUCAUGGAAAAAGUUAGAUCGUUUGGCUGUCACCCCCACAUGCUGAGGAGCCUGGAAAACAGUUUGUGGCAUUUGUAGAUUAAUCAAUAAAGAUGAUACUCUUUCUGUUGAAAACCUGUCUGCAUUAGGUGUAUGAUUGUUGUUAGAUCCUAGCACUGUCGACAUGAUAAGUGAGGCCUUCUAUGUCUUAAUUUUAGCUGAUAUUCGGUG